GUAGUGGUUCAGUGGUAGAAUUCUCACCUUCCACGUGGGGGAUCCAGGUUCAAUUCCCGACCAAUACA
This 68-nucleotide transfer RNA is filed under the name Loxodonta africana (African savanna elephant). It matches the Rfam family "tRNA". From Rfam's summary of the family: Transfer RNA (tRNA) molecules are approximately 80 nucleotides in length. Their secondary structure includes four short double-helical elements and three loops (D, anti-codon, and T loops). Further hydrogen bonds mediate the characteristic L-shaped molecular structure. tRNAs have two regions of fundamental functional importance: the anti-codon, which is responsible for specific mRNA codon recognition, and the 3' end, to which the tRNAs corresponding amino acid is attached (by aminoacyl-tRNA synthetases). tRNAs cope with the degeneracy of the genetic code in two manners: having more than one tRNA (with a specific anti-codon) for a particular amino acid; and 'wobble' base-pairing, i.e. permitting non-standard base-pairing at the 3rd anti-codon position. The record is from Rfam by way of RNAcentral. Lineage: Eukaryota; Metazoa; Chordata; Mammalia; Proboscidea; Elephantidae.